Molecule: ribosomal RNA, 466 nt
Filed under: uncultured bacterium
Lineage: Bacteria
Description: partial 16S ribosomal RNA
Rfam family: Bacterial small subunit ribosomal RNA
Source: RNAcentral
GACGAACGCUGGCGGCGUGCUUAACACAUGCAAGUCGAACGGAAAGGCCCUGCUUUUGUGGGGUGCUCGAGUGGCGAACGGGUGAGUAACACGUGAGUAACCUGCCCUUGACUUUGGGAUAACUUCAGGAAACUGGGGCUAAUACCGGAUAGGAGCUCCUGCUGCAUGGUGGGGGUUGGAAAGUUUCGGCGGUUGGGGAUGGACUCGCGGCUUAUCAGCUUGUUGGUGGGGUAGUGGCUUACCAAGGCUUUGACGGGUAGCCGGCCUGAGAGGGUGACCGGCCACAUUGGGACUGAGAGACGGCACAGACUCCUACGGGAGGAAGCAGUGGGGAAUAUUGCACAAUGGGCGGAAGCCUGAUGCAGCAACGCCGCGUGCGGGAUGACGGCCUUCGGGUUGUAAACCGCUUUCGCCUGUGACGAAGCGUGAGUGACGGUAAUGGGUAAAGAAGCACCGGCUAACUACG